RNAcentral lists this ribosomal RNA (429 nucleotides) under Bacillota bacterium. Its description in RNAcentral is "Firmicutes bacterium partial 16S ribosomal RNA". It matches the Rfam family "Bacterial small subunit ribosomal RNA", at positions 355 to 776 of the family's 1533-position model. Lineage: Bacteria; Bacillati; Bacillota. The record is from RNAcentral.
UAGGGAAUCUUCGGCAAUGGACGGAAGUCUGACCGAGCAACGCCGCGUGAGUGAAGAAGGUUUUCGGAUCGUAAAGUUCUGUUGUUAGAGAAGAACGUUGGUAGGAGUGGAAAAUCUACUAAGUGACGGUAACUAACCAGAAAGGGACGGUUAACUACGUGCCAGCAGCCGCGGUAAUACGUAGGUCCCGAGCGUUGUCCGGAUUAAUUGGGCGUAAAGCGAGCGCAGGCGGUUCUUUAAGUCUGAAGUUAAAGGCAGUGGCUUAACCAUUGUACGCUUUGGAAACUGGAGGACUUGAGUGCAGAAGGGGGGAGUGGAAUUCCAUGUGUAGCAGUGAAAUGCGUAGAUAUAUGGAGGAACACCGGUGGCGAAAGCGGCUCUCUGGUCUGUAACUGACGCUGAGGCUCGAAAGCGUGGGGAGCAAACAGG